UUGUGGUGGUUAUUUCACCGGUGCCAGUACUGUUAGUUGGAAUGGGACGACGCGGUUGGCGGCCAUUGGCGACGAAGCGACGACUGGUUAACAAAGUCCACUGGUUGGAAUUUUGCCAGUAGAUGAGGGAUGUGGUGACUGGUGAGGGAGGCGACACCAGUAGAAAAGAGAUAGAGAGAGGAAGAAGGCUGCCAACAAAAUCUCCAUGCUGUUGCGCCCCAUUAUUCUUGUGUAAAGCAUGAUUCAAUGUGACAACUCUUUUUGGCAUUGUCAAAGGAUUGAAGAGUCGCCACCUUACGAAUUAAGGUGCAUUAGGGUACCUUUAUAGACUAAUUCAGAAUCGGUUAAUUAGUCUACAUUACCAGAAAUUUGGGUAAGGAUUCAAACUACCUCGAAAGGAAGAUCUAGGCACCUUUUGAGAUCCACAAAUAUCGUUUUUCGCCGAAUUCGUAUAUUACGUGGUGAUUCUAUGUGAUAAACAAAAGUCACUUAUUUUUAUAAACUUAAUGUCACUAAGUGAUUGCAUAAUAAAUAUACAAGACAUGCAACUUGAUUAUAUUUAAAUUGCUAAUUAUCUAAGAGAUAAACAAAUAAAAAGAUAUAAAUUAGAGAAGCAUGAGGACCGAAGAGACACAACUGAUAUAGUAAAAUAUUUAUUAAAUAAGAGAAUCUAAACUAUCCCAAAUAAUUAAACAUACAUAAAAAAAGAAAAUAAAUUUGAAAGAUUGGACAAAGGAGUUGAUUAUUUUUAAUCAUAUCUACGCCUAGCUUAUUAAUGAGUGACAAUGUCGUAGGUCGCAUUAUCAAAAUGUACUCGGGUCAACUUUCAUCAUUUCAAAAAAUCUACCCAUCCCCCCACCAAGUUUGUUUAUUAAACUUAGAGACAUUCUAAAAGAAAUGACAAAACUAACAUUCCCCAAAAUGUCUACCCGUCCCAACUUAAUGUCCAAGAGACAUUGGAUUCUAUUUUGAAUUUGAGGUCUAGACAAAGAAAGCUAGGUUGCCUAAUGAGACUCGAAAUUUGUGUCAAGCAACAAAGACAAACAUGCUUAAAACAUAAAAUUAUUCAUUUUUAUUUUAAUUAAACUUAUGGACAUGAUAUCUAAGUGAUAAAUUAAUUACUCAUAUUAAAAUCAUUAAUUUUAACAUAUCACUAUUAGUUUAAAUAUGUUAAAAAGUAAAUUGAAUAUGCUAAAAAUGUGUUUAAAGGCAGUUGUAAUAUACUAUUAAGCUAUUUUAAAAAUGUAAAAAAUCAAUUUUAAUAUACUAGAAUUUAAAUAAAUAUUCUGAAAAAUUGAAUAAACAUACUGAAAAUUAUUUUUAAACGCUGAAAAUUUAAUUUGUAUGCUGAAAAUUAUUUCUUUUUGACAGCUAGAAAAGUAUUUAAGAUGUUUAAAAUUAUUUUUAAAUGCUGGAAAGUAAUAUAAAUAUGCAGAAAAUGAUUUAAUAUGCUGAAAACUAAUAUUUUAAAUGCUGAAAAUUAAUUAAAAAAAUGCAAGAAAAUAAAUAUAAAUGCUGAAAAAUUAAUUUGACAUGCUAUAGGUUAAAUUAACAUGCUUGACUUACUUUAGAUAGAAACAAAUUAAUAAAUUCUAAAACAUGAUUUCUAAAUAACAACAUACGUUCAUUAUUGAUCCUAAAUCAAAUAUUUGCCUAGUGAUAUCAUAAUCACAUAAUCUUUGUCCCCCCUUAAGCAGUCCCCAUUAAUUUUAUUAUACAACAAUUAAUUACAGAAUAAAUCAAUAAAUAAAAAAAAAAAACUAGGAAAGAGAUAGGCAGCCCCUCCUCCUAAACUUUCGGGCAACUCUUCAAAUCCCAAGCAAAUACCCUCUAACGGAACCUAUUAGGAAAUUAAAAUGAAUCCAGAUACACCAAAAACAUGCUGCAACCACAGAGAGGUACGAAAACAUGAAGCAAAAGAGACAUUAUUUAAAUGCUAAACAUAGGAGCAUAUUCUCUAGGUUACACGAAAACUAUCAGAUAAAAUUAAAAUUGCAUCGAUAAUGAACUAACCGAUUGACGAUAAUAGACAAAAAUAUGAAAAUUAAUUUAGAAGAAAAAGAAGACAACAAGUGAAUCAGAGAACCAAGAAGAGAUUGAACUACCGGAGCGAGCAACAGUGAAAAUGCACCAAGAAAUCAGAGAGAAGAAAAAUAUACUUUAAAGUAUAGGAGAUAGUAAAAAUAUUGUUAAAGCAUUUGUGUAAAAGAGAAGUGAGGAUGGAAGUGAGGUCUGCUCUCAAUAUUGAAGGAAAAGUAUUGCUUAUAUAGUUGAGGAGUCGCAAGGAAAAAAAAUAUUCCCAAAAAUAAAGUGAGGGGACAUCUUUUCCUUGAAUAAAUGGAUGAAUCGAUUUUAAAAAUAUAAAAGGGAUUAUAUUUACCUUAAAUAUGCAAAUCAAAUAUAGUUUAGUCAUAUUUUACCAUAAAUAUGUAUGUCAAGUAUUUUGAACUAAUAAAAUAUAUAGACAAUGAAUAACUUUGUCAUUUACCAUAUAUAACAAAAUGAUAAAAGAGUAGAUAAUUACACAAAUACUCUCAAGUUCAAUUACCUUUAAUUUUGCACAGAAUCAGAUUCAAUGUGGCCAAGAUAAUCACGUAUAGCUCAAUUACUAACCAAUACAAAGAUCAGGAUUUCAAAUUAGUCUAAACACUACCAUAGUAGAAGUUCACAACAAUUUAUGACUCACAAAUCACUUCUUAAGUCACAAUUUAGGGUAAAACAAGAGUCAUACAAAUUUAGGGAUUUUCACAACACUCGAUCAAUAAGCACGCAUGCAGAUUUUGAUAGAGAAACUGAAAAAAAUUAACAUCAAAUUCUAAAUUAGGGUUAGAACGAAACUCAUGCCGAUUUAGGGGUUUUAAUAUUAUAAAUCCAGAUUAGUAAAUAAGCAUGUAAUUGAAGAAAUUGAAUAAAAAUUCAAAGCUAAACAUUAUCGACUAAGAAUCUUCCUAAGAAAAGGAGAAAGGUAGAAGAAGAUGAGGACAUUAAGACAAGAACUUAAAUGAGAAAAUAAACUUGAGACGGAUUUCCUAAAUCCAUUAUGUAUUUCAAAAUUUUCGAUAAUAUUUUCUCUAAAAUAGAAGUAGAAUUUGGCAUUGACUGUUGUGGUGGUUAUUUCAUAGUGUUGGUUGGAACAGGGCGACGCGGUUGGCGGCUGUUGGUGGCAAAACUGUAGCUAGUUGUCGGAGCUUCCUGGUUAAAAUUUUGCCGAUGGAUGAGGGAUGUGGAGACGUGAGGGAGGUAGCACCAGUGGAAAUGAGAUAGAGAGAGGAGGAAGGCCGUCGGGUUCUUGGUUGUUUUAGUGGUGCUGUCAGCGUUUCUUCAUCGGAGAAAAGGGGGAAAUAGAGAUGGGGGUUGGUGUUGCCAUUGGUGGUUGGUUGUCAGCCGUCCGGUGGCCAAUUCCGGCAGCGAUAGGCGGUGAUGGUGGCUGAGAGAGAGAGAAAGAGAGGGAGAAGGGUAGAAACGGCUGGUGAGAGUAGAAAAUAAUAAGGUUUAGUCUUGGUUUUGUUUAAAAGGAAAA
RNAcentral lists this long non-coding RNA (3520 nucleotides) under Capsicum annuum. RNAcentral's name for it is "long non-coding RNA (CANN_LNC014007)". The record is from RNAcentral. Lineage: Eukaryota; Viridiplantae; Streptophyta; Magnoliopsida; Solanales; Solanaceae.